RNAcentral lists this ribosomal RNA (274 nucleotides) under uncultured bacterium. RNAcentral describes it as "partial 16S ribosomal RNA". It matches the Rfam family "Bacterial small subunit ribosomal RNA", at positions 523 to 796 of the family's 1533-position model. The record is from RNAcentral.
AUACGGAGGGUGCAAGCGUUAAUCGGAAUUACUGGGCGUAAAGCGUACGUAGGCGGUUCGUUAAGUUAGAUGUGAAAGCCCCGGGCUUAACCUGGGAACUGCAUUUAAAACUGGCGAACUAGAGUUGAGUAGAGGGGAGUGGAAUUUCAGGUGUAGCGGUGAAAUGCGUAGAGAUCUGAAGGAACACCAGUGGCGAAGGCGGCUCCCUGGACUCAAACUGACGCUGAGGUACGAAAGCGUGGGUAGCAAACGGGAUUAGAAACCCUAGUAGUCC